Gopherus agassizii (Agassiz's desert tortoise) is the source of this 76-nucleotide small nucleolar RNA. The record is from Ensembl. Lineage: Eukaryota; Metazoa; Chordata; Testudines; Testudinidae.
UUGCAAUGAUGUAUGAAUUUCUUCACCUGAAAUGCAAACUGAAGAGCAAACAAUGAGCUUUUUAACCCUGAGCUAU